CUUUAAAGCAUAUCACAAAUAUUUUUUUAUUUUUGAAAAUAUUUAUGGAUACAUUUUGUUUUUCCCCCACAAAUCUCAAAAUAAUCUUUUUUUUUUUUAAACCCUUACCUUCCAUUUUGGAGCCAAUACUGUGUAUUGGUUCCAAGGCUGAAGAGUGGUAAGGGCUAGGCAAUGGGGGUCAAGUGACUUGCCCUGGGUCACACAGCUAGGAAGUGUCUGAGGUCAGUUUUGAAUUUAGGACCUCCUGUCUCUAGGCCUGAAUAAUCUCUCUUUUGAAGUACAUUCUCUGGGGGGAAAAAGUUUAUCAAAUGUUAUCAGGAAGGAGGGACAUGCACUUUAUUUAUUUUUGAAAGUUCUUGUUUGAUUCAUCUCAUAAACUGUUUACUCUGCAUCAUUCAUAUAUAUUUCCCCAUAUUUUCUGAGUUUUUCAUGCUUAUCUUUCUUAUAACCUAGUAAUUUUCGUACAGCCUAUACUUUAUUUCUAGAAUGUGCUCCUUUCUAAUUUCUACCUCUUAGGACCCCAGGUUUCCUUCAGUUCAAACACUAUGAGAUUUUCUGAUUAUCUUAGCUAUAGCACAUCCCUAUUCUCUCCUCCCUCCCUCCAAUAAGAAUCACCAUGAGUACAUUUAGCAAAACUGUGUAUAUUUCUCUUAGAGAAAUGCAAUCUACUAAAGAACAUAUUGUUUCAUUUCAGCCUUUGUAUCCCCACUGUCUAGCAUAAUACCUAGAACGCAUUUAAUAACCUCCAAGUGGAAGAGAUGCUGGUGCAGUCUGCAGAACAACUGCCUACAAUUGCUGCUUGCUGAUCUUAAAGCUUAGUUACCCCUGUUUCCUGUCUGUGGUAACAGAGGCUAUUCUGUCUUUCAGAAAAGUCUUCAGAAAGUCUUGUCUAAAUUCGAAUUGAGAAGCUGCCACAGUUAAUGGCUUCCAGGAAACAAGGUACUGGGAUUUCCCAAGAAGCAAUAGUUGAACCUACUCUGGUCUCUGCCUUUAGAGUUGCACAGAAGUCACAGAGCAAUGUGUAUGUGAAAUGUCAACAGAGACUAUGGCUCAUUCUUGGAAGCAACCAUCUGCAUCAUCAUCAAAAAUUAUUCGUUAGAUGCCCAUCUGUUCAUGGAUUUCAACAAUAUCAGCAGACUACCAUGAGAAACACUUUCUUGACCCCAAUGCUGGAUGAAACAGUCCCUAAUUGUGGUAAAUGACAAGCUUAUUCUGGGGUAGGGAUAAGGAGUCUAAUUUAAGAAGAAAGCAGACUAAAAGAAUAGCGUAAGGAGUUUGUAAUGAUAACUACAUAUAAUGAUAGAGACAUGCUAAAUAUAGUUGUAGGUUGUAGAGGAGCAAAACAUAAUGAAAUCACCUUAAUGAGACAAAGUCAAAGUACAUUUGCAAGCAUGAAAGGAAAAAGCAUUUAGAUUGCUCUAGGAAUAGCAUCUACCUCUUUAAACCAAUACAUCUUGAUACUUUUUUUCUCUCAAACUCUUAGUCUUGUCUCAUAAUUAUGAAAAGACAAGUUUUUGUAGAAUAGCAAUUAAAAUUGUCUGAUUAUAAGCUAUUGGACAUAUGUCUACUUGCUCUACUUUUCAAUGAUGGAGGAUAAUAUUACUCGUUUAAAAUAUUAGUAAUACCUUCUUUUUCACAGGACUUUAAAGUCUACAAAUUGUUUUUGCAUGCAUUCUAUGAGGUAUGGAGGUCAGAUAUCUAUCAGUCAACCAAUAAACAUUAGUUUGGUGAUGACUGUGCCA
RNAcentral lists this long non-coding RNA (1742 nucleotides) under Monodelphis domestica (gray short-tailed opossum). RNAcentral's name for it is "lncRNA (ENSMODG00000039385.1)". The record is from RNAcentral. Lineage: Eukaryota; Metazoa; Chordata; Mammalia; Didelphimorphia; Didelphidae.